CAACGGAUCUCUUGGUUCUGGCAUCGAUGAAGAACGCAGCAAAAUGCGAUAAGUAAUGUGAAUUGCAGAAUUCAGUGAAUCAUCGAAUCUUUGAACGCACAUUGCGCCCGCCAGUAUUCUGGCGGGCAUGCCUGUUCGAGCGUCAUUUCA
This 150-nucleotide ribosomal RNA is filed under the name Fusarium sacchari. RNAcentral describes it as "5.8S ribosomal RNA". It matches the Rfam family "5.8S ribosomal RNA". From Rfam's summary of the family: 5.8S ribosomal RNA (5.8S rRNA) is a component of the large subunit of the eukaryotic ribosome. It is transcribed by RNA polymerase I as part of the 45S precursor that also contains 18S and 28S rRNA. Functionally, it is thought that 5.8S rRNA may be involved in ribosome translocation. Lineage: Eukaryota; Fungi; Ascomycota; Sordariomycetes; Hypocreales; Nectriaceae. The record is from RNAcentral.